GGACCCGCACAAGCAGUGGAGCAUGUGGUUUAAUUCGACGCAACGCGAAGAACCUUACCAGCGUUUGACAUGGGAAGUGCCGGUUACAGAAUGGUAACCUUCAGUUCGGCUGGCUUCCGCACAGGUGCUGCAUGGCUGUCGUCAGCUCGUGUCGUGAGAUGUUGGGUUAAGUCCCGCAACGAGCGCAACCCUUAUCGUUAGUUACUAACAGUUCGGCUGAGGACUCUAGCGAAACUGCCGGUGAUAAGCCGGAGGAAGGUGGGGAUGACGUCAAGUCCUCAUGGCCCUUACACGCUGGGCUACACACGUGCUACAAUGGCAUAUACAGAGGGCAGCAAGACCGCGAGGUGGAGCGAAUCCCAGAAAGUAUGUCGUAGUCCGGAUUGGAGUCUGCAACUCGACUCCAUGAAGUCGGAAUC
Molecule: ribosomal RNA, 419 nt
Filed under: uncultured bacterium
Lineage: Bacteria
Description: bacterial SSU rRNA
Rfam family: Bacterial small subunit ribosomal RNA
Source: RNAcentral